GUGGGGAAUAUUGGACAAUGGGCGCAAGCCUGAUCCAGCAAUGCCGCGUGGGUGAAGAAGGUCUUCGGAUCGUAAAGCCCUUUCGACAGGGACGAUGAUGACGGUACCUGUAGAAGAAGCCCCGGCUAACUUCGUGCCAGCAGCCGCGGUAAUACGAAGGGGGCUAGCGUUACUCGGAAUUACUGGUCGUAAAGGGCGCGUAGGCGGCUCUGUUAGUCAGGCGUGAAAUUCCGUGGCUUAACCGGGGGAGUGCGCUUGAAACUGCAGGGCUUGAGGCCGAGAGAGGGUGGUGGAAUUCCCAGUGUAGAGGUGAAAUUCGUAGAUAUUGGGAAGAACACCGGUGGCGAAGGCGACCACCUGGGUCGUAUCUGACGCUGAGGCGCGACAGCGUGGGGAGCAAACAGGAUUAGAAACCCUGGUAGUCC
Molecule: ribosomal RNA, 425 nt
Filed under: uncultured bacterium
Lineage: Bacteria
Description: partial 16S ribosomal RNA
Rfam family: Bacterial small subunit ribosomal RNA
Source: RNAcentral